GCCAAAAUAGCUCAGUUGUGAGAGCAUUAGACUGAAGAUCUAAAGGUCCCUGGCUCGAUCCCAGGUUUUGGCA
This is a non-coding RNA of Pseudophryne corroboree (corroboree frog), 73 nucleotides long. Lineage: Eukaryota; Metazoa; Chordata; Amphibia; Anura; Myobatrachidae. The record is from the annotation of a RefSeq genome assembly.